CAAGUCAACCGGGCCUCGACCGCUGCUAAAAUCCAUCAGAAAAGCUUCAAAAAUCGGCCCGGGACACUUCUGCUGGGCGCGGCCGCGCUAAACUAGCGCAGGCGCGCUAGUGGGGACAGUAGCUAGCGCGGGCGCGCUAAGCUUUAGCGCGGGCGCGCUACUGUCUGCCACUGGCAGUCCUGGUUCUUCGUUUUUUAGCUCAUUCUCGCGUGCAUGCCCUUCCUCGCUCUAGUACCACUUCCGUAGGUGAUCACGGUUGCAUUUAGCACAUGCAACAAGCCCUUUAAACCCCUAGAUAGCUCUAGUGGACGAGUGUGUUCUCGUGAGGGUUUGUAGAAGAUGUACCCACAAAAUCCCAAGUCGUGAUGAAUCCACAAUUCUCUAUUCUUGCAAAUAAUGCACCAAAAACAACCUAAAAUGAUAGAAAAUCACUUCAUCACCUCAACUCGUGACCUGCACAGAAAAACACUAAAAACACAUCAAAAGACACUAAACACUUAAGUACAACCAACCAAUUUAAGUGGAAAUGAAGGCCUAUAAGUGUGUAUAAAUACCACUUAUCACACCCCCAAACUUAAACUGAUGCUUGUCCUCAAGCGUCAACGACACUAUACAAUAAUACAAUGCAAUGCAUGAAUGCAACUACGUGAUGAAUGAGUGAACUAUGAAGUAAUUGCCGUGCCAAUUAUAAUACCUCAGAUUGUGCUAAUGUUCUCGAGUUUCAUCUCUCUCGCUACCAAGUCAAUUACUCUUCUAUUUACAAGUGUGGAGUGCCAGUGUGUGCAAGCAUGCUCUUUUAUUGAGACAAGACAAAAACUACUACUCCCACAGAAUCCC
This 837-nucleotide long non-coding RNA is filed under the name Daucus carota (carrot). RNAcentral describes it as "long non-coding RNA (DCAR_LNC007377)". The record is from RNAcentral. Lineage: Eukaryota; Viridiplantae; Streptophyta; Magnoliopsida; Apiales; Apiaceae.